This 493-nucleotide ribosomal RNA is filed under the name uncultured bacterium. Its description in RNAcentral is "partial 16S ribosomal RNA". It matches the Rfam family "Bacterial small subunit ribosomal RNA", at positions 30 to 523 of the family's 1533-position model. The record is from RNAcentral.
AUUGAACGCUGGCGGCAUGCUUUACACAUGCAAGUCGAACGGUAACAGGUUAAGCUGACGAGUGGCGAACGGGUGAGUAAUGCAUCGGAACGUGCCCGGUCGUGGGGGAUAACGCAGCGAAAGCUGCGCUAAUACCGCAUACGAUCUGAGGAUGAAAGCGGGGGACCGUAAGGCCUCGCGCGAUCGGCGCGGCCGAUGUCAGAUUAGGUAGUUGGUGGGGUAAAGGCUCACCAAGCCAACGAUCUGUAGCUGGUCUGAGAGGACGACCAGCCACACUGGGACUGAGACACGGCCCAGACUCCUACGGGAGGCAGCAGUGGGGAAUUUUGGACAAUGGGCGAAAGCCUGAUCCAGCAAUGCCGCGUGCAGGAAGAAGGCCUUCGGGUUGUAAACUGCUUUUGUACGGAGCGAAAAGGUCUCCUCUAAUACAGGGGGCUCAUGACGGUACCGUAAGAAUAAGCACCGGCUAACUACGUGCCAGCAGCCGCCGUAA